UAGGCGCAUUACGUUUCGGAGCAUUCCUCGAUGUGCUAGUGUCACUAUUUCGUGUACUGAGCGGUGUGUAAGUGUUGCAGAGAGUAGGUUGCAUAUCCAACAGCAAACGAUUCUGAUAAGCGACGAUCAAAUUCAUUCAACAACACCGUUUUAAAGUUGGACAGAAUAUCCGUAAACUCCUCCAGCAGCGUGGCUUUGCAGCCUCGUAGGGCGGUACAGCUCGCGCAGGACCACGAUGAUUGUGAUCCUGGUUUCAGGAUUUCAGUCAAAACUUCAUCCGAGAUCCCCAGACAAGCUUGAUGGUAGGUGUUAUUGCAUAGACCAGCACACAAGUAAACACUUUCUCCCAUUACCGAUUGCAGACACGAAGGACACGAUGCGGCCAUAGCGACGAACUGCAGAUGCAACUAACAGCAAACAGGAACGAUAAACAAACGCAAAUAACUGCUUCAGAUUCACAGGAGGAUCUCUCGGGAUAUAACAGGAAUGAUCACCAGGAAACAACACAGACCAUGUAUAUGCACAGAUAACGAUAAGUUACGAUUUGCACACAAAAAUACUGGUAAAAAACAGAGCGUGAGAUAGCCACAAGCGAACGAUCAGAAUGACAGAUCAGAACGAA
Anopheles funestus (African malaria mosquito) is the source of this 622-nucleotide long non-coding RNA. RefSeq lists it as uncharacterized. Lineage: Eukaryota; Metazoa; Arthropoda; Insecta; Diptera; Culicidae. The transcript is spliced from 2 exons. The record is from RefSeq and is a predicted model, not a curated record.